GUAUUUAUCGUUUGUUUUUUGUAACAAAUUAACCGCGAACAAAGUCCGCCCACUUUUGUUAUUAGAAAAUAAUAAAUUAAGAAGUUUACAACCAGAAACAAUAAAAUAUUUUAUCGUUAGUGCCGUAAAAGUAUAUGUAUGUGCACCAAGUGGUUUUGUUAAUAUAAUGUGCGCGAUGUGUGUGAGGUUGACGAUUUACCCAAUCAUCAUUAACAAAAUAAUUCGUAUUACACCUUAGACCUUGAGCAGAACGGUUACGAGGUAACAGCAAAUAACCUGGUUGGUUUUAACCAGAACUCAUCCUACGUCACACGGACAUGCAACAUUGUGGAAAGCAAGAGGUUUUUGUUCAUCUGUAUGUAAAUGGUGUUCAGACUUGUACGAUGUAGCUUUCUCUUGGAUCGAGCAAGUACAAGUUGAAUUUUAAG
Molecule: long non-coding RNA, 428 nt
Organism: Anoplophora glabripennis (Asian longhorned beetle)
Lineage: Eukaryota; Metazoa; Arthropoda; Insecta; Coleoptera; Cerambycidae
Exons: 3
Source: RefSeq, a predicted model, not a curated record